UAAAGUGAAGAUUUGUGGUUCUAAUAGCCAAAGGGAAACCAGAAAAAGCUUUCUGCAGCAGACUCCUCAAAUAAGCAAUAUGUAUUUGUCACAGCCAACACUCCUUUCACGGAAGGGUGGGUUGAUGCUUCUAGCUGGAAUCAGCCCAGUGAGAAACUGCUUGUGGUGUGCUGGCUCUCCUCGUUCUCUUUGGACCAGCCCUGUCGGCCUCUGGUGCUCCUGUUCAGCAUUUGCCCAAACGGUGGCAGCGAUGGAGAGGGACAUCUGCCCCGGCCCUGGCACAGGCUGCACUGACCGCAGCGCCCGCUGUCCCCGCCCGCCGCCUCAGCCCCGCCAUGGCGCGGAGCAGCAGCGCCCCCUGCCGGCCCGGGCCUUGGAGCUGCUCCUGAGGGAAAAUCAAAUUCCUCCUGCGGGAAAAUCAAAUUCCUCCUGUGGGAAACCCAGCGCUCCUUUCCCAUCAGAUUCCUCCUGCGGGAAACCCAGCGCUCCUUUCCCAUCAGAUUCCUCCUGUGGGAAACCCAGCGCUCCUUUCUCAUCAGAUUCCUCCUGCCGGAAGCCCAGCGCUCCUUUCCCAUCAAAUUCCUCCUGCCUUAUUUUCUCCUUCCACGAAUGUAUCAGGUUAUUUCAGCCCCCGAAUCUUUUGGGUCCUGUACACAUUUGUGUGAGAAAAAGCCCCGAGAACCCAGAAAUAAGCAGAAGCACAUUUGUUCUGUAGAAAAACUUGGGCCUCACAAUUUUGGUUUGAAAUGGAGGUGUGAAGUGUACUCACACUAGAAACACUGCUCAUCACAGGCAGAGGUGAUGGGAAGACUAGGCAGCAGCAGUGUGUAAAAUUUUCACAUACAAAUACUAAACUAUUGUUAUGUCUGUAGUAUGAGUAAAAUAGGAAUGUGUUUCAUUUCACAGAUGGAAAUAUUGGCAUAAAAUCACUUACUUUAUGCUCCCCUACAUGGAGACUAAAUGACAGACCUGGGAUUUCAUUUCAGGCAUUACCAGAUAACACAUGUGGUACAUAUGGCUACCCACCUAAAGUUUAUGAAAAGAGGGUUGUGUAAAUAGUCAUUGUAAAGAAAUAUCCACAAAAAAUAUUAAUAUGUGUUACUCAAAUCUUAUACUCUUGCAGAGAUAUGCUCAAACCUUGAAGUGGAUAGCUGGAGUUUUAGAGGUUCUGGUAACAAGGCUGUCACAGUCUGUAAUCACAAUAGCUUCUGAAGAGAAAAGACAUGCUCUUGGCACGUACUUAGACAUUGAAUUAACUAACAUUUUCAUAGGCACAUUCUUUGCACAAGUUUCAUCCCUGCCUCUAAGAGAUUAUCCUCUGGUGUUGAACAGCUAGGAGAUGUCCUUUGUGGAUGCUUUCCCUAGGAAUAUCCAGCCUAUCCCAGUCUAUCACUUUUACUGAUACUUUUUUUUUUUUUUAGUUAUUGUGGUAUAGCUUGAAUCUUUCCUAUAGUGUGUUUUUACUCUCAGUCCAUGGGCACCUUGGGCAUGGAGAAUAUUUUUCUACCUUUUUACCCACUUCUUUGCAGAAGCCCUUUAUCUGUUAGAAGACACUGUAUGCUCCUCCAUUUUAUCUUUUCUUGAAAAUCUCUUUGUUCUGUUUUACCUCAUGAGUGCUAUUGUCCCUGCUCUGGCUGCAAUCUUGAGAGUCUUCAGCACAAGAAGUAUUCCCUUCCCUUCCCUUCCCUUCCCUUCCCUUCCCUUCCCUUCCCUUCCCUUCCCUUCCCUUCCCUUCCCUUCCCU
Long non-coding RNA from Passer domesticus (house sparrow), 1743 nucleotides. RefSeq lists it as uncharacterized. The record is from RefSeq and is a predicted model, not a curated record. The transcript is spliced from 3 exons. Lineage: Eukaryota; Metazoa; Chordata; Aves; Passeriformes; Passeridae.